UGGUCUUUUUUUAGGGUCGGAAACUCUAGAUGAAGAAAGACAGAAAGGACGGACGUCGGUGAAGUAGCAUGGCUGUCUCUGCCUGUCGGUUUCAUUCCGACCGACCAAUUACCAUAAACGGCGUCCGGUAAUCUAUUUUUAAAAAUACCAAUUACAUAUAGUCGUAAUGAAAGAGUGACGAUGCUCUCUUCUAAUUACUCUCCCUAAAUUUAAAUUAAUUAUCAGUAGUCAAUUGUCACGGUCAGUGGCAUUAGGACCGGAGCAAGCUUUCAGAACAGGACUCCAAAUCCAUUGAACGAGAAACUUCUUCCC
RNAcentral lists this long non-coding RNA (312 nucleotides) under Zostera marina. RNAcentral's name for it is "long non-coding RNA (ZMAR_LNC002432)". Lineage: Eukaryota; Viridiplantae; Streptophyta; Magnoliopsida; Alismatales; Zosteraceae. The record is from RNAcentral.